CACGUAGGUAAUCUACCUCCAGGUGGUGGAUAACCUUCCGAAAGGAAGGCUAAUACAGCAUGGGACCACGACCUCGCAAGGGGUUGAGGUGAAAGUCGGCCUCUUCAUGAAAGCCGACGCCAGGGGAUGAGCCUGCGGCCCAUCAGCUAGUUGGUAGGGUAAUGGCCUACCAAGGCGAAGACGGGUAGCUGGUCUGAGAGGAUGAUCAGCCACACUGGAACUGAGACACGGUCCAGACUCCUACGGGAGGCAGCAGUGGGGAAUCUUGCGCAAUGGGCGAAAGCCUGACGCAGCGACGCC
RNAcentral lists this ribosomal RNA (300 nucleotides) under uncultured Polyangiaceae bacterium. Its description in RNAcentral is "bacterial SSU rRNA". It matches the Rfam family "Bacterial small subunit ribosomal RNA", at positions 114 to 398 of the family's 1533-position model. The record is from RNAcentral. Lineage: Bacteria; Pseudomonadati; Myxococcota; Polyangiales; Polyangiaceae.